RNAcentral lists this ribosomal RNA (1818 nucleotides) under human gut metagenome. RNAcentral describes it as "bacterial LSU rRNA". It matches the Rfam family "Bacterial large subunit ribosomal RNA", at positions 1111 to 2925 of the family's 2925-position model. The record is from RNAcentral.
AGCAGCCAUCGUUUAAAGAAAGCGUAAUAGCUCACUGGUUCAAUGGCGCUGCGCCGAAAAUGUAACGGGGCUAAGCAUGCUGCCGAAGCUUCGGAUUUGUCUCUGACAACUGGUAGGGGAGCGUUCUCUGCGGGCUGAAGCGGAACCGAAAGGUUUCGUGGACUGCAGAGAAGUGAUUAUGCUGACAUGAGUAACGAUAAAAUAUGUGAAAAACAUAUUCGCCGUAAAUCCAAGGUUUCCUGGGUAAAGGUAAUCUUCCCAGGGUUAGUCGGACCCUAAGGCCAGGCUGAAAGGCGUAGCUGAUGGGAAACGGGUUAAUAAUCCUGUACUUGUGCGAUUGUGCGAAGAAGGGACGCAGGAUGGUAGACAGGCCGGUUUUUGGAAUCCGGUGCAAGUGUGUAGGCAUGCUCCGCAGGCAAAUCCGCGGGGAUGAGCCGAGGCACGAGUCCGUGGGCGUAAGCCCUGAAGCUGUUGAGCCACGGCUGCCAAGAAAAGCUUCUAAGUUUAGAUCGCGCGAACCGUACCGCAAACCAACUCAGGUGGAUGGGAUGAAUAAUCCAAGGCGCUCGAGAGAACUCUGGCCAAGGAACUCGGCAAAUUGACCCCGUACCUUCGGAAUAAGGGGUGCUCCCCACGGUGAGACAAAUUCCUGUUCAGCCCCGGGGAGCCGCAGAGAAAUGGUGGUGGCGACUGUUUACUAAAAACAUAGGUCUGUGCGAAGUCCUACAGACGACGUAUACGGACUGACGCCUGCCCGGUGCCGGAAGGUUAAAAGGAGGAGUCAGCGCAAGCGAAGCUCCGAUUUGAAGCCCCGGUAAACGGCGGCCGUAACUAUAACGGUCCUAAGGUAGCGAAAUUCCUUGUCGGGCAAGUUCCGACCUGCACGAAUGGCGUAACGAUCUCCACGCUGUCUCGGCCAGAGACUCGGUGAAAUUGAAGUCGCGGUGAAAAUGCCGUGUACCCGCAGAAAGACGGAAAGACCCUGUGCACCUUUACUAUAGCUUGACAUUGGGUUUUGAACCUGCAUGUGUAGGAUAGGUGGGAGGCUGUGAAAGCUGUACGCCAGUAUGGCCGGAGCCACCCGUGAAAUACCACCCUUGUUUGUUCAGGACCCUAACUCGCAGCUGUAAUCCAGCGCGAAGACAGUGUCUGGUGGGUAGUUUGACUGGGGCGGUCGCCUCCUAAAGAGUAACGGAGGCAUGCAAAGGUUCCCUCAGGCUGAUUGGAAACCAGCCGUUGAGUGCAAGCGCAUAAGGGAGCCUGACUGCAAGAGAGACAUCUCGAACAGAUACGAAAGUAGGUGCUAGUGAUCCGGUGGUCCCGAAUGGAAGGGCCAUCGCUCAUUGGAUAAAAGGUACGCCGGGGAUAACAGGCUGAUCGCAUCCAAGAGUUCACAUCGACGAUGCGGUUUGGCACCUCGAUGUCGGCUCAUCACAUCCUGGGGCUGAAGCAGGUCCCAAGGGUACGGCUGUUCGCCGUUUAAAGUGGUACGCGAGCUGGGUUUAAAACGUCGUGAGACAGUUUGGUCCCUAUCUUCUGUGGGCGUAGGAGAAUUGAGAGGGUUUGUCCCUAGUACGAGAGGACCGGGAUGAACGCACCACUGGUGGAUCAGUUGUCGCGCCAGCGGCAUAGCUGAGUAGCUAUGUGCGGAAUGGAUAACCGCUGAAAGCAUCUAAGCGGGAAGCCAGCCUCGAGAUAAGUUCUCCCUGUCGCAAGACACUAAAGGGCCGAUGAAGACUACAUCGUUGAUAGGCCGGAGGUGGAAGCGCUGCGAAGCGUGGAGCUGACCGGUACUAAUAGCCCGUGCGCCUUAUAUUU